AGCUCCAAUAGCGUAUAUUAAAGCUGCUGCGGUUGAACCGCUCGUAGUUGGAUUGCGAUUUUCGGCCACGGUCCUCUAAGACAUGAGGAUUGGCUUUGCCGCCGUUGGUCAUGAUCGGUUAUGUCACGAUUGUCUUGAAUGCUCUUUAUCGAGUGUACUUGACGACGUGGACGUUUACUUUGAGAAAAUAAGAGCGCUCAAAGCAGGCUGCUCAAUGCUUGAACGGAAUUUCAUGGGAUAGUGAAAAAUGAUCUCGCUGGUGUUCAAAAGCCACGAGGUAAUGAUUAAAAGAGACAGACGGUGGCAUUCGUACUGCUACGUUAGAGGUGAAAUUCUUGGAUCGUAGCAAGACGAACAAUUGCGAAAGCAUUUGCCAAGAAUGUUUUCA
This 388-nucleotide ribosomal RNA is filed under the name uncultured eukaryote. Its description in RNAcentral is "SSU rRNA". It matches the Rfam family "Eukaryotic small subunit ribosomal RNA", at positions 587 to 972 of the family's 1831-position model. The record is from RNAcentral.